Molecule: ribosomal RNA, 377 nt
Filed under: uncultured bacterium
Lineage: Bacteria
Description: bacterial SSU rRNA
Rfam family: Bacterial small subunit ribosomal RNA
Source: RNAcentral
AUACGGGGGGUGCAAGCGUUGUUCGGAAUUAUUGGGCGUAAAGCGCGUGUAGGCGGCUGUAUAAGUCAGAUGUGAAAUCCCUGGGCUUAACCCAGGACGUGCAUUUGAAACUAUUCAGCUUGAGUAAGGGAGAGGAAAGUGGAAUUCCUGGUGUAGAGGUGAAAUUCGUAGAUAUCAGGAGGAACACCGGUGGCGAAGGCGACUUUCUGGCCCUAUACUGACGCUGAGACGCGAGAGCGUGGGUAGCAAACAGGAUUAGAUACCCUGGUAGUCCACGCCGUAAACGAUGUUCACUAGGUGUUGGGGGUAUUGACCCUCUCAGUGCCGCAGCUAACGCAUUAAGUGAACCGCCUGGGGAGUACGGUCGCAAGAUUAAA